UUUUGGAAUAAUUUUAGAUUUAUAGAAAAGUUGUAAAAAUUGUCCAGAGAUUUCCUGUAUAACAACCACCAAACUUCCCUGGUGUUAACAUUUUAUUUUAUUUUUUAAUUAUUUAUUUAUUUAUUCAUGAGAGACAGAGAGAGAAAGAGAGGCAGAGACACAGGCAGAGGGAGAAGCAGGCUCCAUGCAGGGAGCCCUAUGAGGGACUCGAUCCCAGGACUCCAGGAUCACACUGUGGGCCAAAGGCAGGCGCUAAACCACUGAGCCACCCAGGGAUCCCCUAACAUUUUAUUUUUAAAGACUUACUUAUUUUAGAGAGAGAGAGAGAGAGAGAGAGAGAGCACGAGUAGGAGGGGCAGAGGGAGAGGGAAAAAGAGUCUCAAGCCAACUUCAAGCUGAGCACAGAGCCUGAGAGCUCAGUCUCAUGACCCCGAGAUCAUGACCUGAGCUGAAACCAAGAGCCGAUACUUCACUGCACAACCCAGGCGCCCCACCUAAUGUUAUUUAACAUUUUUAAUACCUUUGUCAAAACAAUGACAACAAUGUUGAUGCAUUAACUAAAUUUCAAACUUUAUUCAUGUUUCACUAGUGGGUCACUAAUUACUAUUGUUUUUUUCUGUUCUAGGAUCCCAUCCAGAAUACCACACUGCAUUUUGUCAUCAUGUCUCCUUAGAUUCCCCUGGUCUAUGACAAUAUCUUAGCCUUGCUUUGCCUUUCAAGAUUUUGACAGAUUGAAGAGUAUGGCCAGAUGUUUUAUAGACUGUGAAUUUGGGUUUGUCUGAUGUUUUCUUCUGAUUAGCUUAGGUUAUGAGUUUGAAGAGAAGAAUGUCAGUCACAAAGGAGAAGUGCUCUCUUCCUCACAUUAUGUUAGGGAGUACAUGACAUCAGCAUGACUUAUACUGGUGAUGUUAACUUUGAUUAUUUUGGUUACAGUAGUAUCUGCCUCCAUUUUUCACUAUAAAACUCUCCCCUUCUCCUACUAUAUUUUUGGGAUGCGAGACACUAAAUCCAGGUUUCACUCAAGGAGAACUGAGGCAUGGGAAUUACACCCCACUUCCUGGAGGGAACAAUAUUUACCUAUGUUGUUGUAUGGAAGCCUCCUGUAAGGAUGAUUUGCCGCUUUUCUCCCACAUAUUUAUUUAUCCAACAUUUGUUUAUAUCAACAUGAACUCAUGUAUAUUUAUUUUAUAGUUUGGAUUCUAAUCUAGUGUGAUGUUAUUAAUUCUGUUGCUCAUAUUGUUCCAGCUUUGCUCUUUGGGAGCUUGUAGAAGUUGGUUCCUGUGUCCCUUUGACAGACUAUCAUACUUUCUUUUAUGUAUUUAUUUAUUUAUGUAUUUCUGGACUCCUUUCCUAUUUUUGGCAUAGGUAUUCUUUUGAAUGUCCCAGCAUUACCUAGGAAUGUCGAGAUCACUCAGAGGGGAAAGAGUAGAACUAAUACUGAAACCCAGAAACUCUGAUGCACAAGUCCCUAAGUUUUUGGCAUGACACUGCCUGCCUCACAAGAUAAUCAGGGCAAACGAGAGGCUAGGACCCAUAAAAGGAGAACUUCACCACUAAACAGCAGCUAGUGGACUCAGAAAUAGCUCUCUGGCCUUGGAACCUAUGGACGGAGGAUGGAGGCUACUGGGGUCCCUAGUGGAAUAUUAAUCGUGAAAGCUAAAACUAAUUAAGAAGUAGGGAAGCUCCGGGCUCCAUUGCUGGUUUGGUGUUCUUGUGGGCAUACUAGGGGGAGAGGGGGUCAAAGCAAACUAAUCUUGGGGGAUCCCUGGGUGGCUCAGCAGUUUAGCACCUGCCUUCAGCCCAGGGCCUGAUCCUGGAGUCCCGGGAUCAAGUCCCACCUCAGGCUCCCUGCAUGGAGCCUGCUUCUCCCUCUGCCUAUGUCUCUGCCUCUCUCUCUCUCUCUCUCUCUCUCUCUCUGUGUGUGUGUGUGUGUCUCAGGAAUAAAUAAAUAAAAUCUUUAAAAAAAAUCUUGACUUGCUUUUCGUUUCUAGCUCUGUCUCAUACUGUUAGGUAUCCAGAUUGGUUAACUGUGCAUCUCAUUAAAUAGGGUUCUAUGAUCAAGGCAGCUAAGACUUUGCCUAAUCCUGCUACCACUACAGCAUCUAGCCAAGAAAAGAGUUACUAGCAUUCAGAAGGUGACCUCCCCAAGCUAAUGCUACAUAUUGAAAUAGGUAUUGCUUUUACCUGGCCAAAGUAUUCCAAUUUAGAUCAGGUUGGCCAAACUGCUGGAUUAUAAAAAGUUGUAAAGAAAAAAAAAGUCAUAAAGAAAUCUAUCACUUGUACACAGGAAAUAUAAACACAAUUAUGUUUAUAAUUGUCAAUACUUUUCCUAAAUUCAGGGGGUAAAAUGCUCAUGUUGGGGUAUGUAUAUAAAAUGUCUGCAAUGCACAUAUCAUGGUCCAUUUGGUCCAAUUUAGAACAGUACGUUAUACUUAACAGAGGAGCAAAGGACUUCAGUCACAAUAAGGCCACAAUUCUUUAUCAUGCUUUUAGUGGUCCACUACAAUUUUUGAUAAAAGUUUCUUCAUCCAAGAGAAGAAAGCUCUAUAUUUUAACAAUUUUGAAUCAAAUUUUCAUUAAAUCCAACAAUACUGGGGCAAUUUGUAAAAAAUAUAUGUAUUUUUUAAAUUUUCAAAUCAAUACCAGGCCAGUAAAAGAUAUGUCACUGAAUGGCAUACAUAACACUCCGAUAGUAACAUAGGAACAAAAAUAUGAAUGUCUACCGUACAACUCCAGAUUAUUAAUAAUGAUGUAUGCCUCAGGCAAUAUACUUAGAACCUGUACUAUCAUUCUUUGACAUAUAAUUAAUCCAUUUCAUCAUUCUGAGGCCAAACAAUGUUUAAUGAUGCCAAUAAAAAAGUAAUUAGAAACUGUAAUUUUGACUUAGGACUGAGAAUGUGUUUAUAAAUGUAGCCCAAUAAAGCAGUGAUGGAUCUAUAUGUCCUAUUCUAAGACACGCUUCUCUCGUCUCUCAUCCAAUCACAUGGAAUUACUAGAAAAGGAGGCAGUACCUGAAAUCUUAACCUUUUGUUUGGGGAUUGAUUACCAUAGUAGAGAAAUAGACUUCCCAAUUAUUGACAAAGACACACAGUUACCCAUUAGUGUGGGUACAGAACUUGUCUAAAUCAUUUCGACAAGUGACUAAAAGUUUCCUGUCCAGACCUUCACUUUGCUCAUGCCCCCACCAACCAGCCACUCACUGCAGUCUCUUGGCUUCUCGGUCUAUUAUUAUUUUUGGAUCACGGGGGACACAGACAAGGAACAACAACAGAACAGAAGACCUUUCCUUUCUCUGAACUGCUCCGUUCUGUGAAAACUGUGUGAAAGUGGUUGCAUCUGUGAACUCUGUCUCAUUAGAGCCAAAUGUCUGUGGUGCUCCUUCAUGGCUGUGUGAUUGAAAUGACAAGUUCCCUGAGCAUUGUGCUUUGUUAAGAAUGCAUGGAUUGGUGAUGGCUCAGGUUCUGGACCAAAAGCCAUAGCUGGACAAAGAUUGGAAUGACCUGUCAUGGUUAACUUAGAAUCCCAGGGGGAAAUGUUACCCUUCAGUCACUGUUUUUUUGAAAAACCCAAAAGUAAAAUAAUAUGGACCUGUGGUUAAAAGUUAUGAGGUUAAAAGUAAAGCUCAAAAGUAGAAAUGCAAUGAUAGCUUGAGCACACUGGAAAUAUUAAAAACUAUUAAAUGUUUUUGAAGCACAUUUUAUCUGUAGGACACUGGAAUAAGCCGCCUUAGGAUAAAAAAGAUAAAGAAAAAAUACACUGUGUUUGCUUUCAACUUAGAAUGAAUGUACCUGCAUGAUACACUGGAGAAUAAUUACAAAACAAUCCAGGAAAAAUUACAUAGUUUGGCCAUAAUGAAUUGGUAUCAAAGGGAUGAAAAAGGAAGGAAUUAGCAUGGUAUCAGUAAAAACUUGAGCCCAUGCAUGCCUCAAGUGAAGGAGUAUUUUAGAAAUCAUCUUGUUAAUUUGACUAUAAUUUGUAGGUGGCCAGACUAAGCACAGGGGAUCCAAGUAAUCAACAUGUAGGAUAUCCUAGAAUUCUGCUUGAAAUAAUUUGUGAUAUUUUCAAGUUUUUACUGGGGCAGUAUCUCUUUUUAACACUGCUGUAUUGCCAUAGCCCAACUGAGCUCAACAUAUAUAAUAGGUAACUGAUUAAUAUCUGUUCUUUAAAUGAAUACAUAAUACAAUAAUAUAGUUGCAUUGGGAGUUGACAAUAGGCUGAGAAGAUUCACAAGACUCUAGUCAUACCUACAGCUGUGAUUUAUUACAGUGAAAGGCUAUGAAGAAAAUCAACAAAAAUAAAAAUAC
Molecule: long non-coding RNA, 4304 nt
Filed under: Canis lupus familiaris (dog)
Lineage: Eukaryota; Metazoa; Chordata; Mammalia; Carnivora; Canidae
Description: lncRNA (ENSCAFG00000052470.1)
Source: RNAcentral